This 572-nucleotide ribosomal RNA is filed under the name uncultured organism. Its description in RNAcentral is "bacterial SSU rRNA". It matches the Rfam family "Bacterial small subunit ribosomal RNA", at positions 88 to 695 of the family's 1533-position model. The record is from RNAcentral.
GGAGCUAGUGGCGGACGGGUGAGUAACGCGUGAGAAUCUGCCUUCAGGAGGGGGAUAACGACUGGAAACGGUCGCUAAUACCCCAUAUGCCUCCGGGUGAAAAGUAAUUCGCCUGAAGAUGAGCUCGCGUCAGAUUAGCUAGUUGGUGGGGUAAGAGCCUACCAAGGCGACGAUCUGUAGCUGGUCUGAGAGGAUGAUCAGCCACACUGGGACUGAGACACGGCCCAGACUCCUACGGGAGGCAGCAGUGGGGAAUUUUCCGCAAUGGGCGCAAGCCUGACGGAGCAAGACCGCGUGGGGGAUGACGGCCUAAUGGUUGUAAACCCCUUUUCUCUGGGAAGAAGACUGACGGUACCAGAGGAAUCAGCCUCGGCUAACUCCGUGCCAGCAGCCGCGGUAAUACGGAGGAGGCAAGCGUUAUCCGGAAUUAUUGGGCGUAAAGCGUACGUAGGUGGUUAUUCAAGUCUGCUGUCAAAGCGUGGGGCUUAACUCCAUAGAGGCAGUGGAAACUGAGUGACUAGAGUGCGGUAGGGGUCGAGGGAAUUCCCAGUGUAGCGGUGAAAUGCGUAGAU